GUGGCGGUGGAAACCUGGGGACCGGGCAGGACUUGGGGUCUGCGGCGGGGCGCGCGCGUGCGCCUGCAGAUAGAUCGUGACCAUCCUGUUCCCGCAGCUCUAUUCCCUAGGCCGAGCGUCCCUGCGAACGCAGCACCCAGUACAGGGCCAGGAACACAGUAGGUGCCUAAUGUUUCAAAAGAUCACGAGUGUGCCCACGCUUUGUCAGCACUGCACAACAGUUCACAACAGCAGGCAGAAUUCCCCUCUCCCUGGUUCUAACUGGUGCAGUAUUUGUUGAUUGGCAAACAGCAGGGCAGGCGGAGAAGGGCGCUAGGCAGGUGGACAGGUUUCACGGGUCGCGGAGGCUGAGAGCAUCGACAAUUUCAGGCUGGAAAUAGCUCACGGAGACAAGAAAACCCAACCAAACCAAACGGUAUCUUCUGAGCAUGCGCAUUGAGUGCGUCACUAGCCUCAUUAGCCUGUAGCCUGAGAGAGCGCCUAGGUGCCUCGUUAGCGCAGUAGGUAGCGCGUCAGUCUCAUAAUCUGAAGGUCGUGAGUUCGAUCCUCACACGGGGCACAAUACUUUUGAUCUCAGUUUCUUUAUCCUUGCGGGGUAAACCCGGGUUUUAUUUGCUUGUCUGUCUGGGGCUGACCUUAAGAAGGGACGUAGCGGGAAUCUUGCCCACGCCAGGUGGCUCGGGACGAGGGCCUGGAGUCGCGCCCCUGCCUACCCACUACUUCGUGUUCCCUGCCCUUGCGGUUGAGCGUUGACUGUCGCGGGGCACAGGGACACCUCUGGGCCGAGCUCAGAAUACAGAAGGUCGAUGGGUCGCAGCAGAGUAGGGCCCCUGGCACCGAGGCCCGGGCGUAGUGACCGGGAGCUCCGUGAGGCGGGGAGCGAGGGCGACGUGUGAACAGAUGCUGGACAGCAGAGAGCAUCGAACACCAUGGCGGGGAGUUGGGGCUGUGGAAGGGGGAGUGGCCGGCUGUGAUGGGACCCGGAGAAGGGACCCCAGGAAUCCCGGAGGCAGCUGCUAGGGCACGGCAGGCCAGGGGCUGUGUCGAGGCUGCAUCGAGAGCUGCUGCAGCUACUGUGUCACCUACUGAAUUCCUCACUCAUUCCCAAAGACCAUCUCCCCUCUCCACAGGUGAAUUGCAAAUUACAGGAGACGGGACAGCGGUUCCCAGCUCCUCACCUUCCAGCCUCCGCAAGUCCCAGGGAAGACUGCGGUGACACUCCCGGUUUACUGUCCCGGCUUGGAGGUCCCCCGGAGCUCUCACUUGGCUCUUUCUAGGGUAAUAGCCCUUACUCAGUGGAUCACAGGCCGCGGUGCAGAUUCCUCAUUUACCGGUCUAUGUUUAUUCCAGUUAUCUGGAUACUCGGGUAAAUAGCACAGGUUUGGAUGACGUGCUGUGGAUGUGGACUAGCUCUGGCCUGGACAACCCUCGAACCACUCCAUUCUCCACCCCUUCUUGGACAUGUCUGACCCUGAGCCUUGGAACAGAAGGGGGCUCCCUUUCCAAGGCCGUCCUUCCUUGAGAGAUCCCCCUCCAUCUGUGGCACCCUUUAGAGUUCUCUUUACUUCUUCAUAGUUGCCUCCCAUCAGCUUAACAAGUCUUUGUUAUACCUCCCUCAUUGUGUGGUUUGUCUCCUGAAUGGACCUAGACUGAUAUGAUGAGAUUAAACAUUAAAUUCAGAA
Molecule: non-coding RNA, 1682 nt
Organism: Ictidomys tridecemlineatus (thirteen-lined ground squirrel)
Lineage: Eukaryota; Metazoa; Chordata; Mammalia; Rodentia; Sciuridae
Source: RefSeq, a predicted model, not a curated record